GUAAAUAUAGUUUAUUAAAACAUUAGACUGUGACUCUAAAAACAGAAGCUAUUAACUUCUUAUUUACC
Molecule: transfer RNA, 68 nt
Filed under: Algyroides fitzingeri
Lineage: Eukaryota; Metazoa; Chordata; Lepidosauria; Squamata; Lacertidae
Description: tRNA-His
Rfam family: tRNA
About the family: Transfer RNA (tRNA) molecules are approximately 80 nucleotides in length. Their secondary structure includes four short double-helical elements and three loops (D, anti-codon, and T loops).
Source: RNAcentral